AUGGGCGGCCGCGCCUUGCGCCGGCCCCUGUUGCUGCCUUCACUCCCCGCGCGCCCUCCUCCCGCCUGGAUAAAAGGCCUCUGCUUCCACUGUCUCAAGCCUCGACAUCGCGCCGUGGAUUGCCGCGACCCUGUCACCUGCAGACGGUGCUUCCGCUCCGGCCACAUAGCGCGUGGCUGCACCCACGCUCCGCGCCCGCACCUGCGCCCCGGUGCUCCCUCGCCCGCUCUGCGUCGAGCUCCUCCUCCCGCGCCUGCUCGUGUCCGCCUGCCGGCGCCCACGCCCGUGCCUCCCCAAGCUGCCAUGGCUUCCCCCUCCGCUGCAUCUUCGGCCUGGGCUGGUGACCACAACGCCCGCCCGGAGGUGUUCGCCUUCAUCCACAACACCCCGGCCAUGCACAUGGAGGCGGCGCUCCUGGAAUCCAACGGAGUGGUGGCCUGGUUCGACCGCGACCGCCGUGCCUCCACCAAUGAGGUUGAUGCGGUCAUUGCGGACGAGGUUGGCGUCUUGGUGCCGGAUGUCAUCGUCGUCUCCCACUUCCCCGAGCGGUUCCUGGUACGUUUCAUCCACAAGCAUCAUGCUGACAUCGCCACAUCCCGCCGGGAGCUCCCGUUCGGCGACACCAAGCUUCAGAUGCGAGCCUGGCGCCUGGAAGCCCAUGCUGAGCAUGUCGACCUCCGCCACCACGUGCGCCUCUGCCUCGAGGGGCUGCCGCUGUACGCUUGGGACGAGGAGGCGGUUGCCAAGGCCGUCGGCUUCGGCUGCUCGCUGGACUACAUCGAGCCGGCAUCCAAGAUCAAGUUGGUGACCGAUGUGCUCGCUUUGUGGGCGUGGACGCCAUGCCCAAGCAGGGUGCCAAGGGUGAGCUGGGUCACUUUCCCCGCCCGCAACGGUGGCGCCCCAGUGUACGGGCGCAAGGGGCUGGAGCAUCGUGUCCUGGUCCACCUCGACAUCCAUGAAGAUCCAUCCUCCGGCAAAGUGAUGUCCAGGCCUAACCCCUGGAAAUCAAACAUCGUGGAUGGGGAGACGAUGCCGCGUGACAGGCGCGAGCGCAUCUCUCGUCCUAUUCUGCGGGACCGCCAAGACCGCAGGGACCGGGACGACGAAGGGGGCCGUGGCCGGGGGCGUGACGGCCGGGGCACGUCCAGAGGCGGGCAAGGCUGGGGCGACCGCAUCCGCUGGAGCCUCUCCCGUGCUCCGCGUGAUGCGCAGCGCGACACCGGUAGAGAACGCCGGGAUGGGCGUCAGGGGAGCCGCGAUGGUCGCCGCCGCGGCAACUCUGGGCUGCCCGCUGUCCAGGGCGCUGUUCCGGUGCCUCUCGGCUCUGGCUCCCUGUGCGCUCCUCCCAUGCGUGUUGGGGAGCUUGAGCCUGCUUCAGAUGCUGUCGGCGCUCGGGGCCGUAGCCCGGUCAGGCAGCAGCGGCCGGCCUUUGCCAGGCGCAUAUCGGCUUCACCACCCCUUUCUCCUACAACGGUGCUCUGA
RNAcentral lists this ribosomal RNA (1482 nucleotides) under Triticum aestivum (bread wheat). RNAcentral's name for it is "partial small subunit ribosomal RNA". Lineage: Eukaryota; Viridiplantae; Streptophyta; Magnoliopsida; Poales; Poaceae. The record is from RNAcentral.